GACGAACGCUGGCGGCGUGCUUAACACAUGCAAGUCGAACGAUGAACCCGGAGCUUGCUCUGGGGGAUUAGUGGCGAACGGGUGAGUAACACGUGAGUAACCUGCCCUGGACUCUGGGAUAAGCGUUGGAAGCGACGUCUAAUACCGGAUAGGACCUUGGAUCGCAUGAUCUGGGGUGGAAAGUUUUUUCGGUCUGGGAUGGACUCGCGGCCUAUCAGCUUGUUGGUGAGGUAAUGGCUCACCAAGGCGUCGACGGGUAGCCGGCCUGAGAGGGUGACCGGCCACACUGGGACUGAGACACGGCCCAGACUCCUACGGGAGGCAGCAGUGGGGAAUAUUGCACAAUGGGCGAAAGCCUGAUGCAGCAACGCCGCGUGCGGGAUGACGGCCUUCGGGUUGUAAACCGCUUUUAGUAGGGAAGAAGGGCUUCGGCUUGACGGUACCUGCAGAAAAAGGACCGGCUAACUACGUG
This 472-nucleotide ribosomal RNA is filed under the name uncultured bacterium. RNAcentral describes it as "partial 16S ribosomal RNA". It matches the Rfam family "Bacterial small subunit ribosomal RNA", at positions 28 to 507 of the family's 1533-position model. The record is from RNAcentral.